AGCCACACAACAAAAGAAAACAAAAGAAAGAAAGAAAGAACAAAGAAAAAGAGGGGGCUCGGGUGUGUUUCUUCAUCUCUUGUU
This 84-nucleotide non-coding RNA is filed under the name uncultured eukaryote. The record is from RNAcentral.